Molecule: microRNA precursor, 85 nt
Organism: Balaenoptera musculus (blue whale)
Lineage: Eukaryota; Metazoa; Chordata; Mammalia; Artiodactyla; Balaenopteridae
Gene: MIR452
Product: microRNA 452
Source: Ensembl
GCUAAGCACUUACAACUGUUUGCAGAGGAAACUGAGACUUUGUAACUACAUCUCAGUCUCAUCUGCAAAGAAGUAAGUGCUUUGC